UCAACCGGACGGUCGCGGGGGCGCGGGAAACCGUACGCCACGAGGAAAGUCCGAGCAUCACAGAGCAGGGUGCCGGGUAACACCCGGUGAAGGCGACUUCAAGGACAGUGCAACAGAAAUAGACCGCCGCGCUUGCCGCGGUAAGGAUGGAAAGGCGGGGUAAGAGCCCACCGUGCGGCCGGCGACGGCCGCAGCCCUGUAAACCCCACCCGAUGCAAGACAGAAGGAACAAGGUCCGCUCUGUACCUCCUUCGCCCACGUCGCUUGACACCGCAGGCAACUGCGGCGCUAGACAGAUGACCGUCGAAAACAGAACUCGGCUUACGGGUUGACUUGU
RNAcentral lists this RNase P RNA (337 nucleotides) under chicken gut metagenome. RNAcentral's name for it is "Bacterial RNase P class A". It matches the Rfam family "Bacterial RNase P class A". Rfam says of the family: Ribonuclease P (RNase P) is a ubiquitous endoribonuclease, found in archaea, bacteria and eukarya as well as chloroplasts and mitochondria. Its best characterised activity is the generation of mature 5'-ends of tRNAs by cleaving the 5'-leader elements of precursor-tRNAs. The record is from RNAcentral.